GAUGAACGCUGACAGAAUGCUUAACACAUGCAAGUCUUUGGCGAAUCUGUGCUUGCACAGGCUAGCCAAGGCGGACGGGUGAGUAACGCGUAAAGAACUUGCCCUGCAGACAGGGAUAACAGACGGAAACGACUGAUAACACCUGAUACAGUUGCCGGCACGCAUGUGCCUGGCAAUGAAAAGAGAUGCUGCAGGAGAGCUUUGCAUCCUAUUAGCUUGUUGGUGAGGUGACGGCUCACCAAGGCGAUGAUAGGUAGCCGGCCUGAGAGGGUGAACGGCCACAAGGGGACUGAGAUACGGCCCUUACUCCUACGGGAGGCAGCAGUGGGGAAUAUUGGACAAUGGGGGCAACCCUGAUCCAGCAAUUCUGUGUGCACGAAGAAGGUUUUCGGAUUGUAAAGUGCUUUCAGCAGGGAAGAAGAAAGUGACGGUACCUGCAGAAGAAGCGACGGCUAAAUACGUG
Molecule: ribosomal RNA, 463 nt
Filed under: uncultured bacterium
Lineage: Bacteria
Description: partial 16S ribosomal RNA
Rfam family: Bacterial small subunit ribosomal RNA
Source: RNAcentral